Non-coding RNA from Chrysemys picta bellii (western painted turtle), 3500 nucleotides. NCBI's taxonomy places the organism in Eukaryota, Metazoa, Chordata, Testudines, Emydidae. The record is from RefSeq and is a predicted model, not a curated record.
AUUGAAUUCACUUGUGUUUUUACAGGCACAUGGCCCAUCUCCUACCCACCCCCCCCAGUCCCUGGCUGACCCCGGAAACGUGAGAGCUCCAGAGCAAGUCCUGCGAACUCGGACUCCAGUGAACUUUGAACCGGAAUUGAAAUCAGUGUAAUUUAUCCCCAUUUUACAGCAGGGGAAACUGAGGCACGGACCGGGGCAGUGACUUUGCCCAAGGGGACACAGCGAGUCGGUGGCAGAGCCAGGAGUAGAAUCCAGGAGUCCUGGCUCUUAACCUCCCCUGCUCUAACUGCCACUCCAGGGGGACCUGGGAAGUGCUGUCCAACCGUGGCACCAAGAGAGAGCCCCCGGGGAUGACAGCCCCCACGGUCACUUUUCCCGGGAUCGCUAGGGGAUAGAGUCAGGACAAAAUAGCCACCGCUUUUUUUGUUUCUUGGCGUUCCUGGACCCACAGUACAGUUUUCAAUUUGUUUCCAGGAUAGGAGGGAUAGAUCGGGUAGAGGAUUUUAUUCCUGGCUGCCUAGCGUGCCUGGACGGAGUCAUUUCCAGGGGAAGCUGGCAGAGGAAGGGGUUGCCUUUAUAAAGAAGGUAAAGCAGUGGUUCAAAGCAUUGCAAUGCAAUAACAUUGCUGCAUUUCUGGGGGUCAUAAUACUCGGGCUACCUGGACGGAUGCAAUAUUCCCUAAUGGUCCUAGACCCUGUCGCUUACAGAGGCGUUACUGAAGUGUUCAGGGCUGUUAUAUUGUAGCAUUUUUCCUAUGGGUCACUCUCCGUUAAUGGGACCCGGGGUUAUCCUGCCUUGUGUAAAGUGACCCUCCACACCGCUGCUUCCAGAACUGCUUCUGCAGGCUUGGACGGGGCAAUGGCGAUAGAGUAUGUUGCAGGUUUGUAGAAGGAUUGCUGUCUUGUAGAAGGGUGAUUGGGGUUAGCCAGCCCCAGGAAAAUGAAUUGGGAGUAUACCUGCCUGGAAUGACUCAGCAGGAAAAAACCAGCUAGUCAGCAAGGUCCUUUUCUGUAAGCAAUCACAAGACGUCAAGGUGCAUGCACGUGGCAUGAGCAAAAAGGAGUUAAUGGCAAACUCCCUGCCUGCAGGUUCACCCCAAUCCUAUCACCCUGCACAUGGGGACCAGCUUCCCCUUAUUCUCUGGACCGGCCGACUACUAUCCCUCUCCCUGAACUGGGACAAAGGGAGCAGUACCUGCGCUGACAUUCAGCCUUUAUUCACUAGGAACGGUGUAAUAAUACCAAUGCCUGCUUUUUAAUGUACUGCUUUUCAUCAGUGGAUCACUAAGUGCAGCAGUAUUAUCCCCAUUUUACAGGCGCGUAAACUGAGGUACAGAGAAGUGAAGCGACUUGCCCAGCAUCACCCAGGAGGCCAGAGCAAGGAACAGAAUCCAGUGCUUCUGAGUCCCAAUUGAGUGCACUGUCCACUAGGCCACACUGCCCCCCUGCUCCCUCUCCUACUCCACUUGGUUCUCUGGGUAUAUUCCAAAGACAAGGCAUUUGCUUCUUAUUGAAGCCAUGGUGGCACGAGUCAGCCUCCAGCAGAAGCAAGAGAACAUAAGAAUGGCCAUACUCGUUCAGACCAAUGGUCCAUAUAGCCCAGUAUCCUGUCUUCUGACAGUGGCCAGUGCCCCAGAGGGAGUGAACAGAACAGCCAAUCGUCGAGUUAGCCAUCCCCUGCCAUCAGCUCAAAUGGCAGGUCCCCGUCAGUUCAAACGUCAGAUCCCCGUCAGUUCAAACACUGCUUCUGCCAGUUAUUAUGACCAAGAGCAACCCUGGGGUUCAAAAUAUCCUGGACAGAUAAAGAGGAGGUCAGUAUUGUAAGAAAGCUAGGGUAUAAAACAAACCUUAGUUAAGCAACUGCUUAUCUGAUUCCUCAUACCACCAUUCUCAGGGGUCUUUGAAUUUCAAUUACUUAACUAAAGAAAAGACCCAAGAGUUGAAUUUAGUUUUACAGAGUUUUGUAAAAUAUCCCUAACAACAGUAACUCAUAGUAUAGGAUAUAAGAAGGCAAAAAUGGAUCACUCGAUGAUUAACUGUGAAGCACCUGGCAUUGGCCACUGUUGGAAGACAGGACAUUGGGCUAGAUGGAGCUUUGGUCUGACCCAGUCUGGCCGUUCUUAUGUAUUGGACUAUGACUUGGCUAACAUCAACUAGAAAACUGGUCAAGAUAACCAUUUAGGUUUUCAGAAUCAAAUUACACAACCACAGUAGAACAUAUGCCAGAUACUCAGUCACUUUGGAGGGAGGGUGACUUUGUUUACAUUUUUGACUGAGUCCCUUAGAAUGACCUCACUUGUGCCAGUUGGUUAUCAGCUUUGGGGUUGCUAACAGACUAUAUGAAAAAGAGUCCAAUGCUAGGUCACUGACAGCUUGGUCAGUUCCUGCCAGUUUACCAAGGUCUCCUUCCCAGUGGAUCCAUAGUAUUCAACCCUUCUUACCUGUUUCCCCAUGAAUUAUAUUAGCCUCAGCAUCUAACACUCCUAACUAUCUAAACUAAACUCUUACAUUUAUUACAGACUUAGUGCAGUUCAAAAAGCAUGCACAGCUGGUCUCAUUUUAUGUCUCUACACCCCUAGAACGUGAACGGCAAGGAGUUGACGCUGCAAACAAGGGUGGAGCGAAGGACAGACAGGACUAUAAUCUUUUCCCAGUGCGUUAGUGGGCAACCUGAAUUGCUGGAAAAUAGAACGAGACAGUUAAAGGUGCCUAUCCAAGUACUUGAUGUCACCAGGAUGCCCAGGUGGCUAGCCCAGGACCUCAGUCGUCUCUCUUCCAGGUGUCUUUGGCUUUCAGGAAGUGAUGUGCUGAAGGAGAUAGGCCGUUUUAUCCUGUUUCUGCUGGGUGGUCCAACUUGGUUCUUCUUCUUGGAGGUGCAGGCAUGGACCAAUCAGAUGGUGACCCAUACAUCUUCUGAAGAUUCAAAAUGUCCAACCAAAAUGAGAGCCGUCCUCUCUCACCAAUCCAAUCUGGGAAGGAGACAUCAGCUUUUGAGAUCUUGCAACUGGGAUUGGAAUUUUCCAGUCUGUUUGUGCAACAUAUUUUAUGACACCACCUCGUGUAAGGCAAGGUAGUCCGGAACUGUUGAUAUAACCAUCUUGGAACAUACCUGGAACUCUGGCAGCUUUGCUCCGGUCAGCCACUUACCUCCACAAGUCACUUUUUGUGGGCCCCUUUGUGGUACAUCCCUUGCCCAAGUUUGCAGUAAUGUUUGCUCACGUUGCAGCGUUUCCAUCAGUACCCUGCUAACUGCCGAAAGAGCCAGUUUAAAGUUCAUAUAAUUUAUACAAAUUCUCUCCAUAUUCUUUGAUGCUCUUUAAACAUGUUUUAGCCAUUCUGCAAAGUCACUUCAAGAACUGGCGUUCUCCUUCUGGCUGGAACAACUGUAUAAAUCUUCCAUUUCUGUUCUCCUUGUUCUAACAACAAUGGUGGGACCUUGGUAUGCUUGGCUGAGCUGUGUCUGUGCAUUAUUAACCAAACAUUAUAUUUCUGAUUAUUCCA